GCAGGAAGGUAAACACCUGCUAGUCACUCCAACAUAACUGUGAGGCAUUUCUCUGGGGUCAACACUCUGUCUAGGUCAGAGUGACCAAAUAAUGACCUCUCACUGCCGUGACAUCUUGCACAUCUCUCUGGUGUUUUCUACCUCCAGACCAACAGCGGAUUUGUGAGAGGCUUCUGGACUUGCUGACUGUCAGAGAUCUCAAGAAGAACAUGCCGUUCUAAAUGAUGUCAUCGACUUGUCAACAAGCAUUAAAUCGUACAAGAAGAAGAAGAAGAAAUGACGUCAUCCUCCAGGAAGUGACAUCAUCAAUUUGGAGGGAAAUCAACAGCACAAACAACAAGACGCGGGAUCAUUAGAGACUGUGAAUAACUGAUGUGUCUUGCUGCCUCUGGUCAUCUGCCAUCACUCAAGCAGCAUUUAAUUCUCUUCUGCUCUCUUUCUCUCUCUCUCUGUCUGUCUCUGUUUGUUUAGUGGUGCAGAGAAAGUUUGCUGAAUAUGUGAAUGAUGUAGAAACCGCUGUUUCAUCAAACUAAAAAGUUUGAUUAUGAAUAUGAUUAAGACAUUUUGCAUGGGUUCAUGGAUAUUUAUUAGGUUGUCAAUCGAUUAAAAUGAAAUGAAGAUAACAUAAUAAAUCUAGCAUUGUUGUAGCA
Long non-coding RNA from Cyprinus carpio (common carp), 650 nucleotides. NCBI's taxonomy places the organism in Eukaryota, Metazoa, Chordata, Actinopteri, Cypriniformes, Cyprinidae. The record is from Ensembl.